Molecule: ribosomal RNA, 248 nt
Filed under: uncultured bacterium
Lineage: Bacteria
Description: partial 16S ribosomal RNA
Rfam family: Bacterial small subunit ribosomal RNA
Source: RNAcentral
AGUAACACGUAAGCAACCUGCCUAUCAGAGGGGAACAACAGUUAGAAAUGACUGCUAAUACCGCAUAUGCCUUAAUUACCACAUGGUAGUAGAGGGAAAGGAGUAAUCCGCUGAUAGAUGGGCUUGCGUCUGAUUAGAUAGUUGGUAAGGUAACGGCUUACCAAGUCGACGAUCAGUAGCCGGACUGAGAGGUUGAACGGCCACAUUGGGACUGAGAUACGGCCCAGACUCCUACGGGAGGCAGCAUG